GGAAGAGAGUUGUGUGUUGUGAGGAAGAGAGUUGUGGGAAAUGACAUAUAUAGAGAAAUAUGGUAAGUUUUACAUGGUUUUUACAUGGAAAAUUUACAACGCGUUUACAACGAAUUUAGGUAAGUUAAAGCACAUUGAAUACACGUUUUCACCUUUAUAUAACGGUAACAUGAUUCGUUGUAAUGUCGAUGUAACGUUUACAACUAUUUCGCAUUCCACGUACUUUCGUCGUAAACUUACAUUGACUUUACGACGAAAACGUUUCGUCGUAAAUUACCAUGGAGUUUACGACGAAGUUAUGUCUCGUCGUAAUUGCGUUGUAAAGCUUAUGUAAAUUUACGAGGAAAUUAUUUCCUCGUAAAACGCUGUUGUUACUGCUACGUUUUCUUGUACUGGUUGCGGUCUGCGGUUGGUUCAUUUUCAAUUUUUUUUUUAAAUCAGAAAACAAAAAAAAAACAAAAAAAAAUUUAUAUAAACUUUUACGUUUUCUAUUUUAAAUAAUAAAUUUAAUUAAUUUUAUUAAAUUUCUCUUAUACAAACCGCAGUUAAACACCAUUCAAACAUUUGUCCCGCACUUUUUAUUAUUUUGGUCACCAUUCACAUAUUUCUUAAACCGCUUCUAUUAGAUGAACCGCACUUGUCCCACAAUAUGCGUUUUUGUAACACAAACCGCUCUUAAACCGCACCGCACUAAUCAAUCCGCUUGUCCCGCACCGCCCAACCCGCUGUUACCAUUCGGAGCCUAUGUUGCUCUAAGUUUUUUGGUAGUUACCAAGUCGUUAAAAAGUAUGAGCGGUAUAUGUUUUUCACAAGUUACUUGUGAGUUACGUAUACAUAUAAGGUAGAAAACUAUGUUUAUUUUCCCCAUAUAGUUGGUUUACGUAUACAUAUUAAGUAGACAACUAUUUUUCUUUUCCCAUAUACUUGGUAUACUCAGUUUUUUUUUUUGUUUUUGAAGCUCUUUUACUAUUAAAAUGUAUUUGGUUUUUUUUUUGACAGUUUUUUUUUUGACAGAUUAAAAUGUACUUGGUAUACUUAGUUACUUGGUUCUAUAUGUGAAUUUACGAACAUUUUGUCCUACUUUUUGGGGAAUUUGGAAUUUGUGUGCUAUUCCGCUGAAUCAAAUCAGAAUGUUAUUUCAGUGACUCACUUCAACGUUCAAAACAUCGUUUUUCUGGGAAGAAAUAGUCAAACAUGAAUGAUGUCGAACGUCAUGACUCAUGAACUAUGGGACACGUAAAACUAAACAUGAUUUUUCUUUAUCGUUAGUCAAAUAAAACUAAUACAACAAGGCAUGACUAAUGCUUCUUCAGUAGAAACCGUGGUCGGUCCGAUUUUCCCCCUUUUAUUAUGAUUUUCAAAAUCAACUGUAUCAUUUUCGCAUAAUGAUUUUUAUUCUAGUAAAAACUGGGUAUUUGCAAAAUAAUAAACGACGAUAAUGUAAAUGCCUUUGUUAAUUUUUUGGAAUGGUUUUAUUUUGUGAUUUUAUUUGAAGCCUUUGAAAUGGCUUUAUUUUGUGAUUUUAUUCGAAGCCUUAGUAAUAUAUAUCAGACAGUUUAAUAUUAUAUCAUAGAAUGUAGAUUUUAUCUAAAAGGCUUAUUUACCAUCCUUUUUAUUAUUUUUUGGUCAAACAUAAAUUUUAGCUUACUCGUUCUCAAAGGAGAGAUUGUUCAAUCGAAAAAAGCUUAUUUACCAUCCGUUAUUAUAAAAUUUAAACAUUUUUUGUAUUAGGGGUUUCUAGAUUGAAAAAUUAUGUAACUUCAAUAUGAACCUCUCUCAUUGGUCCUGGAAAAGGAAAACUUAAUAUCGUCUGAUGACAUGCGCUUGUUUUCUAAGUUACUUGAUAGAUUAUAGAGCAACAUAAGGUGGCGUUAUGUAAAACUUAUAAUGUGUCAUGUGUAUACUGUCUAAAAUAUUGGGAUCAAUAGGAACUUAGGAAGUAUUAUUAACAAUGUAGAUAGCGCCCAUAACCAAACUAGGCUGACUAGCUACUCGACUAAUUUCUUAGCAAUGUAUAUGUUUUCUUCUUAAGAUAUAUUGAAACUUUAUACUUUUUUUUCUUUUUUUCAUUAUAUCUUAAGAAGAAAACAUAUACAAUGUAGAUAGCGCCCAUUUUUCAUUAAUUUGGGGUAUUCCAAACCUACGAAAGAUCUAGACUAAUCUCUAACGAAAAGUGCAAUCCAUAGAUAGAUCUUAUUUUCGGAUAUUCAAAUGGAAUGUAAGCAAUGAAUCCAUAUCUAUGUAGUCACAUGUAGAAUUAAAAAAUUUGCAUUAGAAAAAAAUCGAUCUAUGGUCUAUAUCAAUAUGGCAAUUCAUCUUCUGGUGAAAACCACUGUGCUGAAACCUUAUACAUACUACAUGAUACAUCUAUAUGCUGUGUUUUGCUCAUUCCCCUACUAGCUAUGUAAUAUGCAAUUAAAGAUAAACACAUCACGUGAGUUGGUUUUGUAGAAAGUGCUACAACGGAAAUCGACAAAAUCGCAGCUUUUGCAAUUCCAUGCUGUGAUAAAUUAAGACUUAUUUUUGGGUUUACUCCCUAGAAUAGAGUUAAUUUUUAUCACUAACCAAUAAAAUCUUGCUAUUUUAUAUUUAAUAUCUUUUAGAAAAGAGAAAUAAAAUAUUGGUAAGUUAUAUUAAGUUUUUAAAAUAAAAAGAUUAAAAAAAAGUAGUUACAAAAAAAAUUUAAAAAACUUUUUUUAAUAUCGUCAGCAAAACACUAAACCCUAAAUCAUAAAUCCUAAACUCUU
Molecule: long non-coding RNA, 2747 nt
Organism: Brassica rapa (field mustard)
Lineage: Eukaryota; Viridiplantae; Streptophyta; Magnoliopsida; Brassicales; Brassicaceae
Source: RefSeq, a predicted model, not a curated record